Non-coding RNA from Oryza sativa Japonica Group (Japanese rice), 2928 nucleotides. NCBI's taxonomy places the organism in Eukaryota, Viridiplantae, Streptophyta, Magnoliopsida, Poales, Poaceae. The record is from RefSeq and is a predicted model, not a curated record.
GACAUGGUUCACCCGAAAAUCACGCCACCUCUCCCAUUCUCUCUCUUGCACUCACCCAAAAAUCCCCACCCUCACGCCAACCACCCCCAACGCUGCCAACGCGCCGCGCCGCCGUCGCCCCGUCAUCCCUCCGCCGUCGCCCCGUCAUCCCUCCGACUCCACUUCAGCCGUCCCCUCCGCCGCGCCGGCCAUGCGCUCUUUGCGCAUCCUCUCCACUCCGAUGGCUCAGCGGAGCUCGGCGCCGUUCAUCGCCCACUGCCUACCCCUACCCUACCUGUGCAGUGUGCAGGUCGUGCCCGGAAUCCCCGUGUCGCACCCCCCUCCCCCUUCCCACAGGCGAUCAAGGCUCAGCUCGACUUCGAUGGGAUCCCUUGACCUCGGUGCCGCCCAGGAAGAUCGUCGUCACUCGCGGCGCCACACAAGAAGUUCGUCGGGCUUCCUGCUCCUUCCCUGUCGCAUGGGUCUCCUCGCCGGUGAUCUCCUCCCUUCUCACCCUCAGAUCGACUUGUUUGGAUCCCUGAAGCUGGGGUUAGUUCUAUGGAUAUUUGCUACUCCUGUUGAUAGAUGGAAUUUGCUUCUUCCACCCUUCAUGUGAUUGGUGGUCUGCCGACUGCUUCUGACGACUGAGUUGCUCUAUUGGCUUUCGUGAUUACGACUUACCGUCGUGCUGCGCCCUUCGAUUUGUUGGUCUCACUCGCCAUGGUGGUAAGCACAGGCACAUUGUUUUUUCUUUUAUCUUUCUUCAUGCGUUAAUUAUUAACUGAAACUUUGUUGUGCUAUGAGCCAAGGAGUCAACGAUAUUUCCUUUCUACAUUACGAUGCAAGUAAAGCUAGCAUAAUUUUCCUCCCAAUAUAUGGUUCAACCUUGAUGCUAACCCAAUGUGUAAUGUUGCAAAAUGCCUAACUCUGCAACAGUGCAAGAUAUGGUUCCACCGCUGGCCACGCUGGAGACGAGGUCGUCCCUCUUCCCCAUCGGCCACAGAUGGAGCCGACGUAAAGAGUAAUAGGUAAACGGGAGGCAGGGCAAAAAAAAGAAGAUCAUUCUAUAUGCACAAAAUUUGAAGAAGAUCAUUCUAUAUACACAAAGUUUUACUGCUUAGACGUUAUUAGAAAACAUAACUUGGGAAAAAGGAGUAGGCUUGGCAAUUAUGUAUUUCAAUAGUUAUCAGAAAUUUUAAUCGAGGAUAUAUAUAUAAAAAAGAAUGAAUGUUCAUCGAAUCAGAGUUGAUGGCUUGACAGGGUCGAGUUAAGUUUAACACAUCCAUGUAUAGAUCAUUCUGCUUGCCACUUUGGAUUGAUGUCGUCUGCACUUUAUAUGACCUUUGGAACGGUAGUCUGCUUCGGAGACCAGGGAAUGGUACCCAUCUCUCUACUGAAAAAAUUUCUGUGACUGUUUUUCAUUCUGUUUGGACCAUACACAACCUUUUUAGUUUAAGUGGAAAAGUAAAUCAAUUAUUGUGUCAAUAUUUUGGUCACCUGUGUAUAUCUUGAGGUUUAUAUAAGGUCACCUGUUUAUGUCUUGAGAUUUAUAUAGAUUUAGGCCAAUGUGUACAUCUUCAGAUUUGGAGUGAAUAAAACUUUGCAAUAUCCAUGUAUAUGCCUCUCAUCAAAUAAAGCUAUUUGUUUUGUAAGUUACUGAAUACUGAUGGCACAAUUUUAAUUUUUACUCCUUGGUAUGUCCAGUGGUGGCAGCUCGAUGGCUCACAGGAAAAGCAGGGGAAGAGGAAGGGCGCAAAGAGACAGGGAAAGUGGACUGUGAGCUAUAAUUAGACAGUGUAUGCACCUUUUUUUUCCAUGAAUUACUGACUUAAAUGGACUAAUAGUUGGGUGUCACAUUGUAUAUUACAAUAGAUAUUAUAUAUUAUUUCCUGUGAUAUAUAUUCCAAAACAUGCUCUCCAUCGACUAAUCACGGGCUUGCUCAUAUGAGUCAUUAUAGUUCUGCUAUUUUGAUCUGUUUGAAAUCUACCUCCAUGAGAAUUAUGCUAGCCAUGGGCUAUUGUAUUCCUCCCUGUAAUGCAGUUCUACAAAUAAGAAUAUGAGAAAUUGAUGACAUAUUUAUGUGCAGUGUCCUAUUGUCCUAUAGGGCAUUCAUAUGGAGCUUUGGAAUUUCUGUUAAUGGAGGCAGAGACAAAAAGGAGAAGACUGUUAUAUGAAUUUCUUCCUUGAAUUUUGUUUCUAUGCAGUAGAAUAUGGAAAUAAGAUUCACUUCAAACUUUUCAAUAAUUUAGUACACUUUCCUGCAGGUAAACAUGCAUUAUGAUAGAGCCUAAAGCUGGUGGGACACUUAUUUCCAUCGUCUACAUGAUAAUUUGAUCAUGCACAUGAGUUGUCCUCUUGCUAUGAACAACUGAUAGAGCCCAAGAUAACCAGUGAUCAUCUUGACUGAUGAACUAAUUUCAAUAUGUGUAUGUAUGCAGGUGGCCACUGAUCGGUGCCCCUUGGCCUAUUGCAAUGGAUAAUGUUGUUGGAAACUCUACACCAAAUCCAUUUGCAUGAACAGGUGAUGCACACCAAUUCCCCUUGGCCUACCCAGUGACAUGCACUGGAAUCUUAGCAAUUAUCUGAUCCUUAUUAAUUCAAAUGCAUCACUGCGUAUUCUAUAACUCUGUAACAUCAUGACAACUUGGGCUUUGAUGAUUGGGGAUACUGUCAGUAGGAGAAGAAUCACCAUCACCACAAAAUCCACUUUCAUUGCACUCUGGCGUGGACAAUUGUAUAGACAUAUGGCUGCAAGUGAAGGGAGAGAUCAAUUGUUGUACUUUAAAGGCUUCAGAUACAACAAAUCAUUGCCUUAUAAUCUCUUUCGGUGGUGUUCGCAUUUCAAGAAUCAUAUAAAUGUAUUUUAAAUUUUGUAUAAAAAGAUCAGAUUGUAUGAAGAUAACCAUUGUGCUAUUAUUAAAGUUGUCAAUUCAAAUCUAUAUUCUUUA